Molecule: ribosomal RNA, 1154 nt
Filed under: Ilyoplax delsmani
Lineage: Eukaryota; Metazoa; Arthropoda; Malacostraca; Decapoda; Dotillidae
Description: partial 16S ribosomal RNA
Source: RNAcentral
UCGUUUGUAAAGCUUGUUGGAAAAAUAAUAAAUAGAAAUGGAAAACUGUGAAAAAUAAUUUAACGUUUAAGUAAUGUUUAAUUAAAAAACUUAAAAAAAACUAUAGUUUAUUAGUACUGUAAAGGAAAGAUCAGUUAAUAAUUGAGGUAGCAAGUAUAAAUAUUUAAACCUUGUGUAUUAGGGAAAAUCAAUAUAAUUUAAUUAGGUUAAGUAUCCCGAAAUAAGAAUAGCUAAAUUUAUAUUAUUGUAUUUGUAGAAUAAAAGUGUUUAAUGUAAAUCUAAAGGUGAAAUGCUAGUCGAGUCUUAUUUUAUCUGGUUUUUUUUGGAAUAAAAUUUAAUUUUAACUUUAAGUAAAAAUAACUUUAAAGUGAAAGUGUAGGAGGGUGUAGCUUCUUAUAUAAAGUAUAAUUAAGAGUAGAAUAAUUGAUUUUGUUAAAAUUAGGCUUAGAACUAGCCAUAUUAGUAAAGUGUUAAAACUAAAUAAAAUGAUAAAGAUAUUUAUAACUGCUUUAACAAAAUACAAAAAAAUUAUAUAUAACUUCUGAAGAUGAGUUAUAAUGAUUUUAUUAGUAGAGUAUUAGUGUAAAACAUAUAAUUAGAAUAAUUAAUAUAUUUAGUAAAAAUAUAAAAAUAUAAAGGAACUCGGCAAAAAUUUUUCUUGCCUGUUUAUCAAAAACAUGUCUGUUUGGUAUUAUAGAGAGUCCGACCUGCCCACUGAGUAGUUACUUAAAGGGCCGCGGUAUUUUGACUGUGCAAAGGUAGCAUAAUCGUUUGGUUUUUAAUUGAAAUCUUGUAUGAAUGGUUUGACAAAGAAAGAAUCUGUCUUUAUUUUAAAUAAUUGAAUUUGACUUUUAAGUGAAAAGGCUUAAAUAAAUUAAAGAGACGAUAAGACCCUAUAAAACUUUACGUAGACGCAUAUUCAACUAAUUUAUUGAUUAUAAAAAUUUAGUAGGUAAUCUAUGUUAUGUUGGGGUGACAUAAAAAUAAUGAUUAGUAAUUAUUUAAACUUAAGUACAUUUAUUUGUGGUUCUAUAUAAAAUGAUCCUAAUUAGAGAUUAAAAGUUUAAGUUACUUUAGGGAUAACAGCGUUAUUUUGUUUGAGAGUUCUUAUCGAAAACUGAGAUUGCGACCUCGAUGUUGAAUUAAAAUUUCUU